UAGGGAAUCUUCCACAAUGGGCGCAAGCCUGAUGGAACAACACCGCGAGAGUGAAGAAGGGUUUCGGCUCGUAAAGCUCUGUUGUUGGAGAAGAACGUGCGUGAGAGUAACUGUUCACGCAGUGACGGUAUCCAACCAGAAAGUCACGGCUAACUACGCGCCAG
RNAcentral lists this ribosomal RNA (164 nucleotides) under uncultured bacterium. RNAcentral's name for it is "partial 16S rRNA". It matches the Rfam family "Bacterial small subunit ribosomal RNA", at positions 355 to 511 of the family's 1533-position model. The record is from RNAcentral.